AGAAAAGAGAGUUGAAAGAUAAAAUCUUCACAAAAAUGGCAUUGCACAUUUACCAAUCUUUUCUAAUGGGACUUUUAUACAUUGGGCUGCUCCUCGCUUCGAGCCAAUAUUUGCUUAGAUCCCCAAGAAAGUCUGGUUCUUAGUUUUGUACAUCAUUGUUACCAUAUAAAUCUAUAUCUUAAAGACUGAUAGAGGAGAAUGUUUCGAUGCACUUCGUUGUUGUUGUAUGGUUUAAAAUUAAGAUAAAUUAGAUUACUAUAAAAACUUAUAUAUGUUUUACUAAAGAUUUAAUAAACAAUCUCAUAAAAUAAUAAAUAAAAUAAUCCAAUAAAUAAUGCAAGAAACAUAUCUCUCCAGAGCUUUUAUUAUUCACGGUCGAAGAAUAUUAAGAUGUCAGCAGAAAAAAAGUGGAAAGCAAUGGUCAAGCACAAUGUGAAGGAAUGAUGCAACCUGGGAAUAUAAUUAUGCUCUAAAAAAUUAGGGUGAAAAUUGUUUAGAUUAAAAGCAUGUAUACUUUUAACAUUGCAAAUGCAUGUAUACUUUUAAUUAAUAAAUACAAUUUUAAUUGAGUAAUUAA
Long non-coding RNA from Lathyrus oleraceus (garden pea), 577 nucleotides. RefSeq lists it as uncharacterized. The record is from RefSeq and is a predicted model, not a curated record. NCBI's taxonomy places the organism in Eukaryota, Viridiplantae, Streptophyta, Magnoliopsida, Fabales, Fabaceae. The transcript has 2 exons.